This 253-nucleotide ribosomal RNA is filed under the name uncultured bacterium. RNAcentral's name for it is "partial 16S ribosomal RNA". It matches the Rfam family "Bacterial small subunit ribosomal RNA", at positions 524 to 776 of the family's 1533-position model. The record is from RNAcentral.
UACGGAGGGUGCGAGCGUUAAUCGGAAUGACUGGGCGUAAAGGGCAUGUAGGCGGGUCAUUAAGUUAGGUGUGAAAUCCCCGGGCUCAACCUGGGAACUGCACUUAAAACUGGUGGUCUGGAGUAUUGUAGAGGAAGGUAGAAUUCCAUGUGUAGCGGUGAAAUGCGUAGAGAUGUGGAGGAAUACCGGUGGCGAAGGCGGCCUUCUGGACAAAUACUGACGCUGAGAUGCGAAAGCGUGGGGAGCAAACAGG